CAAAGUAUAUAUAUUGUGUACAAUACACACUUUCUGUUUUCUGGAAAGAUCUCCAAAGUCAUAUAUACAUAGUUCAUAUUGUGAUAGUUCUAUUGUGAAAUUAUUAAUCAUCUUAAGGAUGUACUUAGGUGAGGUUUUGGUAUUUGUGUCAAAUGUUCAGACUCCUUGGUGUUUUUCCAUACAAUACAAUGGAAAAUAUUUUGCCCCAUAACACCCAUUUAUUUUUUCAUAUAAGACUUAACAGCUCAUGAAAGGUCAUUUACCAAAAUUUUAGAAGAUUCUUGAUUUUCUUUCUUUUGUUUUGAGACUUAAAUAAUACAAUGCAAAUAUAACAUGUAUAAGGUAAAGUCCGAGUCAGCCUUUUCCCGUCAUAUUGUAAAUCUGAAAUAUCUGGAAAAGGAGGUUCAUGACCUUUCAAUAUUUUUAGCUUAUUUUUAUCCUUAAUUGAUGCUCUACCAGCUUAUAGUAUCAAUUUUAAAUUAUUAAUUUAUUAAAUUUCACAUAACCUCACCUAAGUACAUCC
RNAcentral lists this long non-coding RNA (523 nucleotides) under Mytilus galloprovincialis (Mediterranean mussel). Lineage: Eukaryota; Metazoa; Mollusca; Bivalvia; Mytilida; Mytilidae. The record is from RNAcentral.